AUCAACGAAGAGGUGCUUACGUUGAUCGACGGUGAUGCGCUAUUGUCGAUCGAUAAUGUGGUGUGUAUGUCGAUCGACAUUCGAGACAGAGGGGUAUGAACAUUCAUUUCUCCUGUCUAACAUCUAACCUAGUACUUAUGAUUUAUUCUCUAACCAAUCUUAGACUGAAUAUCACUAGGGACAGUGAAAUUUAAGUCUAGGGGGAGGUAUUUACUAAUACUAGUUUGUUAUAUGAUUUCUAUAAAAAAAUGUUUUCAAAGAAAAAUGUUUUAUCGAGUCAGAAAGGGUAUAAUUAACUUCUUCAAAGUUUACUUGUUAUCUAACCACUCUAUAGCGCCAUUCUGACUGCAGAAAGUACUAGAGAUACUAAAGUGGAUCAACCUGUCAACUAUGAAAACACUUGCUGAGACUGUUUGAAGGAACCAAAGCUGACCUCCAACCUAACCUGACUCAAUUGUUUGUCUUGGGGUUUGGUAUACAUUGGAUCGGAUUCCUCUUUCAGGUCUGAAAAGGUAUGUCUGUAAAUUUUUGGUUUCCUUCUCUCCUCUCUUCGGCAUCUUCAGAUAUAAAAGAUUGAAAUGAUUUCCUGGAAGAGGCAGAGGGGUAGGAGUGUCUCAUGUGAUCCCAUUAUUCUAAGUCUGAAGGGAAUGAUCACACAUUGUGGAAACGAGGGGUAGGAGUGUCUCUUGUAACCCUGGUAUUCGCUAUACUUUGUUAAAAAAAAUAAAAAAAAAAUAAACAUAUAUAAUAAAAUGAGAUUCAUAGAAUAGAGAUAUAGGGAGAAAAGAAACCAGAAUAAGACUACUUGAUUACUCAGAUACCUGCUGGAGUACGAGUCCAUGUGUCCCUUGAUCUAGACUCCCAAGAUUUAGCCUACACUUUUUAUUUAUGCAAGAAAUGAGGUUAGUAGAGGAGAAAGUCAGAUAAGAUAUGUUGAGUUGCUGGCUAGAUGUAUUUGGUUGCUAUACUAGGAUAUUUUGAAAGGUGUAUCGAUCGAUAUUCUGUACAAAUCAUCGAUCAACACUUUCUCGUGAUUAACAUACGAGAGUUGAAAUCCGAGAUCCAGAUUAGAUAAUCUAAUUGAUUAUACCUGAGUUUGAGUUCAAGAACAAUUAAUAUCAUCAAUAAACCCC
Molecule: long non-coding RNA, 1133 nt
Filed under: Brassica rapa (field mustard)
Lineage: Eukaryota; Viridiplantae; Streptophyta; Magnoliopsida; Brassicales; Brassicaceae
Description: long non-coding RNA (BRAP_LNC000421)
Source: RNAcentral